This 464-nucleotide ribosomal RNA is filed under the name uncultured bacterium. RNAcentral describes it as "partial 16S ribosomal RNA". It matches the Rfam family "Bacterial small subunit ribosomal RNA", at positions 339 to 795 of the family's 1533-position model. The record is from RNAcentral.
CUACGGGACGCUGCAGUGGGGAAUAUUGGACAAUGGGGGAAACCCUGAUCCAGCAAUGCCGCGUGUGUGAGGAAGGCCUGCGGGUUGUAAAGCACUUUCGGUUGGGAGGACUGCUUCUAGCACUAAUAUUGUUGGAAGUUGACGUUACCUUCAGAAGAAGCACCGGCUAACUCCGUGCCAGCAGCCGCGGUAAUACGGAGGGUGCAGCGUUAAUCGGAAUUACUGGGCGUAAAGCGCGCGUAGGCGGCUAGAUCAGUCGGGUGUGAAAGCCCCGGGCUUAACCGGGGAACUGCAUCCGAUACUGUCUAGCUUGAGUACAGGAGAGGAGAGUGGAAUUCCACAUGUAGCGGUGAAAUGCGUAGAUAUGUGGAGGAACACCAAUGGCGAAGGCAGCUCUCUGACCUGAUACUGACGCUGAGGUGCGAAAGCGUAGGGAGCAAACAGGAUUAGAUACCCUUGUAGUC